CUAGUAACGGCGAGUGAAGCGGCAACAGCUCAAAUUUGAAAUCUGGCUCUUUCAGGGUCCGAGUUGUAAUUUGCAGAGGGCGCUUUGGCGUUGGCAGCGGUCCAAGUUCCUUGGAACAGGACGUCACAGAGGGUGAGAAUCCCGUACGUGGUCGCUGGCCUCCGCCGUGUAAAGCCCCUUCGACGAGUCGAGUUGUUUGGGAAUGCAGCUCUAAAUGGGAGGUAAAUUUCUUCUAAAGCUAAAUACUGGCCAGAGACCGAUAGCGCACAAGUAGAGUGAUCGAAAGAUGAAAAGCACUUUGGAAAGAGAGUCAAAUAGCACGUGAAAUUGUUGAAAGGGAAGCGCUUGCAGCCAGACUUGCCUGUAGUUGCUCACCCGGGCUCCUGCCCGGUGCACUCUUCUAUAGGCAGGCCAGCAUCAGUUUGGGCGGUUGGAUAAAGGUCUCUGUCAUGUACCUCUCUUCGGGGAGGCCUUAUAGGGGAGACGACAUGCAACCAGCCUGGACUGAGGUCCGCGCAUUUGCUAGGAUGCUGGCGUAAUGGCUGUAAGCGGCCCGUCUUGAAACACGGACCAAGGAGUCUAACAUCUAUGCGAGUGUUUGGGUGUCAAGCCCGAACGCGUAAUGAAAGUGAACGGAGGUGGGAACCCUUACGGGCGCACCAUCGACCGAUCCUGAUGUCUUCGGAAGGAUUUGAGUAAGAGCAUGGCUGUUGGGACCCGAAAGAUGGUGAACUAUGCUUGAAUAGGGUGAAGCCAGAGGAAACUCUGGUGGAGGCUCGCAGCGGUUCUGACGUGCAAAUCGAUCGUCAAAUUUGGGCAUAGGGGCGAA
RNAcentral lists this ribosomal RNA (829 nucleotides) under Plenodomus zhaotongensis. Its description in RNAcentral is "Plenodomus sp. YG-2022a partial large subunit ribosomal RNA". It matches the Rfam family "Eukaryotic large subunit ribosomal RNA", at positions 80 to 927 of the family's 3401-position model. The record is from RNAcentral. Lineage: Eukaryota; Fungi; Ascomycota; Dothideomycetes; Pleosporales; Leptosphaeriaceae.